Pyrus x bretschneideri (Chinese white pear) is the source of this 1384-nucleotide RNA transcript. It is a transcript of the gene named threonylcarbamoyl-AMP synthase, with no coding region annotated. The transcript is spliced from 6 exons. The record is from RefSeq and is a predicted model, not a curated record. NCBI's taxonomy places the organism in Eukaryota, Viridiplantae, Streptophyta, Magnoliopsida, Rosales, Rosaceae.
UAAUAAAAUUUUUGAAAAAGAAAAUGGGCAUGCGGUGGACCCGUGCUCAUCGUUGACGGAAGACACAGGACAAACGAGUGAGCAGAGUAGCGCAGAGGGAUGAACAUUCCAACAAGAAUCGCAGCCAGACUUCCCCUACUCGCCUCUCCUUCGCUUCCCUCCUCCUCUUCCUCCGCUCUCCCCCUCCACAGCUUCUCCUCUGUAUUCUCUCACCACCGCUUGCGCAAUUUGGGUAAUUUAGAGCCAACAGUGAACACCAGUAGAUUGAAACGCUGCGUUGCGAAGAAGAUGGCUUGGAGUUUGGAGAAGAGCAACGGGGGCGUUGAAACCCACUUGGGGGUGGUCUGGCCGGCCACUGAAGCUCACGCUGAAGAGGCCGUAGGAGCUCUCAGAGCCGGAAAAGUCAUUGCCGUCCCCACCGAUACGCUCUACGGCAUAGCAUGUGAUGCUUGCUCAUUGGAAGCAGUGAAUCGGAUAUAUGAGAUUAAAGGACGUAAGCAUACAAGUCCUCUUGCAAUUUGUGUUGGGGAUGUUUCGGACAUUGAGCGGUUUGCUGUCACAGACCAUUUGCCCCAUGGCUUGCUUGAGGUUCUCCUUCCAGGACCCGUUACUCUUGUACUAAGCCGAGGGGAGUCGAGCAUUCUUGAGAAGUCUUUAAACCCAGGAUUGCAUAGUAUUGGAGUUCGAGUACCUGACUGUAACUUCAUCAGGGACAUUGCACGCGGAUUGGGGAGUGCAUUGGCCCUUACAAGUGCAAACCUGAGUGGGCAGCCAAGUAGUGUUUCCAUCAAAGAUUUUGAGAACCUCUGGGAACACUGUGCGUACGUUUACAAUGGUGGUGUGCUUCCUUCAGGCCGUGCAGGCUCAACAGUUGUGGACCUCACCAGAAUCGACAAGUACAAGAUUCUUCGACCCGGAAGUGCGAGAGACGAAACUGUUGCAAUUCUCGAAAGGUUUUCUCUUGAGGAAGAAGGAACAGCUACUUAAACCCGCAUGCAUGGCAACUUCCAUGCUUUACAUGCCUUAGUGGCUGUGACCUGGGCAGCUGUUAGAUAUCGAUGAGGUUUGGAGAAAAAUUGCACUUGGUAAUGUAUUAUUAGAUACGGGGAUGCCACGUGACCCUGAAUCCAUUUCGUGCAAGUCCUUCUUAGGAAGAUACUAGUGACGACGUCGUUUCGCUUCUAGGCCUCGUGGACAAACCAUGUUCGAUGGAAUAUUGGAUGCUUCACCUUCAGGGCUUUUUUUUUUUAGUACAAAGUUAUUUCCUUAUAAUAUGCUGUCAAAUUUGUAAAUGGAGGGUGUCAUAUUCACAAACACAAUAGUUUAAAGGACGGAUUCAUCAGGGAUGACAACUUAACAAUAUGAUAACACGAUUCGAGCUCAA